UCUUAUUGGUGGAUGCUGGGAAAGGUUGAAUCUUAUUGGUGGAUGCUGGGAAAGGUUGAAUCUUAUUGGUGGAUGCUGGGAAAGGUUGAAUCAUAUUGGUGGAUGCUGGGAAAGGUUGAAUCAUAUUGGUGGAUGCUGGGAAAGGUUGAAUCAUAUUGGUGGAUGCUGGGAAAGGUUGAAUCAUAUUGGUGGAUGCUGGGAAAGGUUGAAUCAUAUUGGUGGAUGCUGGGAAAGGUUGAAUCAUAUUGGUGGAUGCUGGGAAAGGUUGAAUCAUAUUGGUGGAUGCUGGGAAAGGUUGAAUCAUAUUGGUGGAUGCUGGGAAAGGUUGAAUCAUAUUGGUGGAUGCGGGGAAGGGUUGAAUCAUAUUGGUGGAUACUAGGAAAGGUUGAAUCUUAUUGGUGGAUGCUGGGAAAGGUUAAAUCUUACUAGUGGAUGCUUGGAAAGGUUAAAUCUUAUUGGUGGAUGCUGGGAAAGGUUGAAUCUUAUUGGUGGAUGUUAGAGAGAGAGAGAGAGAGAGAGAGAGAGAGAGAGAGAGAGAGAGAGAGAGAGAGAGAGAGAGAGAGAGAGAAUAA
This is a long non-coding RNA of Eriocheir sinensis (Chinese mitten crab), 572 nucleotides long. RefSeq lists it as uncharacterized. NCBI's taxonomy places the organism in Eukaryota, Metazoa, Arthropoda, Malacostraca, Decapoda, Varunidae. The transcript is spliced from 2 exons. The record is from RefSeq and is a predicted model, not a curated record.